Molecule: long non-coding RNA, 289 nt
Filed under: Rattus norvegicus (Norway rat)
Lineage: Eukaryota; Metazoa; Chordata; Mammalia; Rodentia; Muridae
Description: long non-coding RNA NONRATT015697
Source: RNAcentral
CCGGGUGGCAGGUGUCAGCGGCGUCUGCAUUCGGCGGCGAUGGAGCGGCCCCGGGGAGCUGCGGACGGCCUUUUGCGCUGGCCCCUUGGCCUCCUCCUGCUCCUGCAGCUGCUGCCGCCAGCCGCCGUCGGCCAGGACCGGCUGGACGCGCCGCCGCCUCCCGCGCCUCCUCUGCUGCGCUGGGCCGGUCCGGUCGGGGUGAGCUGGGGGCUGCGCGCCGCCGCGCCCGGGGGCCCUGUCCCCCGCGCUGGCCGUUGGCGCCGCGGCGCGCCUGCAGAGGAUCAGGACU